RNAcentral lists this ribosomal RNA (594 nucleotides) under Tricholomopsis sp. Its description in RNAcentral is "partial large subunit ribosomal RNA". It matches the Rfam family "Eukaryotic large subunit ribosomal RNA", at positions 71 to 669 of the family's 3401-position model. Lineage: Eukaryota; Fungi; Basidiomycota; Agaricomycetes; Agaricales. The record is from RNAcentral.
AGGAUUCCCCUAGUAACUGCGAGUGAAGCGGGAAAAGCUCAAAUUUAAAAUCUGGCAGUCCUUUGGCUGUCCGAGUUGUAAUUUAGAGAAGCAAUACCGGUGCUGGACUGUGUACAAGUCUCCUGGAAUGGAGCGUCAUAGAGGGUGAGAAUCCCGUAUAUGACACAGUUGCCAGGGCUUUAGUGGCAUGCUCUCCAAGAGUCGAGUUGUUUGGGAAUGCAGCUCAAAAUGGGUGGUAAAUUCCAUCUAAAGCUAAAUACAGGCGAGAAACCGAUAGCGAACAAGUACCGUGAGGGAAAGAUGAAAAGAACUUUGGAAAGAGAGUUAAACAGUACGUGAAAUUGUUGAAAGGGAAACGCUUGAAGUCAGUCACAUUGCUGGAAAUCACACUUGCUUUUCAUGGCUUGUGGCUCUUUCCUAGUAAUGGGUCAGCAUCAGUUUUGGUUGUUGGACAAGGGUCAGAGGAAUGUGGCAUCCUUGGAUGUGUUAUAGCCCCUGAUCAUAUGCAAUGAUGGAGACUGAGGAACUCGGCACUUGUGUGCUUAGGAUGCUGGCAUAAUGGCUUUAAUCGACCCGUCUUGAAACACGGACCAA